GAUGAACGCUGGCGGCGUGCCUAAUACAUGCAAGUCGAGCGAACGGACGAGAAGCUUGCUUCUCUGAUGUUAGCGGCGGACGGGUGAGUAACACGUGGAUAACCUACCUAUAAGACUGGGAUAACUUCGGGAAACCGGAGCUAAUACCGGAUGAUAUUUUGAACCGCAUGGUUCAAUAGUGAAGGACGGUCUUGCUGUCACUUAUAGAUGGAUCCGCGCUGCAUUAGCUAGUUGGUAAGGUAACGGCUUACCAAGGCAACGAUGCAUAGCCGACCUGAGAGGGUGAUCGGCCACACUGGAACUGAGACACGGUCCAGACUCCUACGGGAGGCAGCAGUAGGGAAUCUUCCGCAAUGGGCGAAAGCCUGACGGAGCAACGCCGCGUGAGUGAUGAAGGUCUUCGGAUCGUAAAACUCUGUUAUUAGGGAAGAACAUAUGUGUAAGUAACUGUGCACAUCUUGACGGUACCUAAUCAGAAAGCCACGGCUAACUACGUG
RNAcentral lists this ribosomal RNA (497 nucleotides) under uncultured bacterium. RNAcentral describes it as "partial 16S ribosomal RNA". It matches the Rfam family "Bacterial small subunit ribosomal RNA", at positions 28 to 507 of the family's 1533-position model. The record is from RNAcentral.